AUUGAACGCUGGCGGCAUGCCUUACACAUGCAAGUCGAACGGCAGCGCGGACUUCGGUCUGGCGGCGAGUGGCGAACGGGUGAGUAAUGUAUCGGAACGUACCAUUCAGUGGGGGAUAACGCAGCGAAAGUUGCGCUAAUACCGCAUAUUCUGUGCGCAGGAAAGCAGGGGAUCGCAAGACCUUGCGCUGAUUGAGCGGCCGAUAUCAGAUUAGCUAGUUGGUGAGGUAAAGGCUCACCAAGGCGACGAUCUGUAGCGGGUCUGAGAGGAUGAUCCGCCACACUGGAACUGAGACACGGUCCAGACUCCUACGGGAGGCAGCAGUGGGGAAUUUGGACAAUGGGCGCAAGCCUGAUCCAGCCAUGCCGCGUGAGUGAAGAA
This 381-nucleotide ribosomal RNA is filed under the name uncultured bacterium. RNAcentral's name for it is "bacterial SSU rRNA". It matches the Rfam family "Bacterial small subunit ribosomal RNA", at positions 30 to 412 of the family's 1533-position model. The record is from RNAcentral.